GGGGCCCGCACAAGCAGUGGAACAUGUGGUUCAAUUCGACGCUACGCGAAGAACCUCACCAGGGUUUGACAUAUAGGUAGUAGGAACCUGAAAGGGAGACGACUCGUUAAGCCGAGUGCCUAUACAGGUGUUGCAUGGCUGUCGUCAGCUCGUGCCGUGAGGUGUUGGGUUAAGUCCCGCAACGAGCGCAACCAUCAUCCUUAGUUGCUACCGAGGGAUCCGAAAGGGUCCUGGCGAGCACUCUAAGGAGACUGCCCGUGAUAGACGGGAGGAAGGUGGAGAUGACGUCAAGUCCGUAUGGCCCUUAUACCCUGGGCUACACACGUGUUACAAUGGGAUGUACAGAGCGUUGCCAAACCGCGAGGUGGAGCUAAUCGCAAAAAGCAUCCCCCAGUUCAGAUUGGAGUCUGCAACCCGACUCCAUGAAGUUGGAAUUGCUAGUAACGGCGGAUCAGCUACGCCGCCGUGAAUACGUUCCCGGGCCUU
This 486-nucleotide ribosomal RNA is filed under the name uncultured Omnitrophica bacterium. RNAcentral describes it as "bacterial SSU rRNA". It matches the Rfam family "Bacterial small subunit ribosomal RNA", at positions 916 to 1382 of the family's 1533-position model. Lineage: Bacteria; Pseudomonadati; Candidatus Omnitrophota. The record is from RNAcentral.